UACGAAGGGUGCAAGCGUUACUCGGAAUUACUGGGCGUAAAGCGUGCGUAGGUGGUUUGUUAAGUCUGAUGUGAAAGCCCUGGGCUCAACCCUGGAACUGCCUUUGAAACUGUUGGGCUUGAGUACGGGAGAGGUGAGUGGAAUUCCGAGUGUAGAGGUGAAAUUCGUAGAUAUUCGGAAGAACACCAGUGGCGAAGGCGGCUCACUGGACCGUAACUGACGCUCAUGCACGAUAGCGUGGGGAGCAAACAGG
This 253-nucleotide ribosomal RNA is filed under the name uncultured bacterium. RNAcentral's name for it is "partial 16S ribosomal RNA". It matches the Rfam family "Bacterial small subunit ribosomal RNA", at positions 524 to 776 of the family's 1533-position model. The record is from RNAcentral.